Anolis carolinensis (green anole) is the source of this 2078-nucleotide long non-coding RNA. RefSeq lists it as uncharacterized. The transcript is spliced from 3 exons. The record is from RefSeq and is a predicted model, not a curated record. Lineage: Eukaryota; Metazoa; Chordata; Lepidosauria; Squamata; Anolidae.
UUAAAAAGUAUCUGUUCCAACUUACAAACAAAUGCAACUUAAGAACAAACCUGUGUAACUAUCUUGUUCAUAACUUGGGGACUGCCUGCAUUUCAUUCUCUUUACUGGAGAUACAGAGAUGAUUAAAAAGUUGUCACUUCUGUUUGGUAAUUAGGUGGCCUUCCAACACCUCACUUUUGCUGCCAUCUGCUGGAGCCCUGACAGUUUACAACCAUGUCAUCAAAAAUUCAUUUUUCUAAAGCCAAAUAAGCAUUGCCCAUGAACAAGUGGUGGGAGAGAUAUCAACAAACAUAGAAGGUCUUCUAGGUUUGUAGAAGGUAUUUUGGACAGCUCCCAUAAUUCCUAAUAGUUGAUAAGCUGGGAUUUCUGAGAGUUGAAGCCAAAACAACUGAAGAACCAAAGGUCAGGAACAUUGUGUGUCUGGAUCACAGCACCUACGAGAGUGGCAGAAGCAGAGUUUGAUCCAUCCUUGGAGAACAUAAAAGAAGCACUGACUCCAGUCAUGAAGCCAAGAUCCAGCUUCCAAAAAGGAAAUUAGUCAAAACAGCAAGCAAUCCAAGUUCAAACAGAAGAAUCCAGCCAAAGAUACACAAAUUGAAAGGUGAAGUGAUAGUCCAUUCCAAGAUCCAAAGGCUGAUUUCUGCAAUAACAAAGUCCAAGAUCAAUCCAAAUGGCAAAUGUCAAAGUCCAAGAGUUCACAAAUUACAAACAGCUCCUCCACACCCUCUCUAUCAGAGCUGGCUGUAACACCUUCCUUUACUCUCACCAUUGUAGUGCUACUUCUAGCCUUUUUGGAUGCCUGAUGGGGAAAUGGUGUGGAGGCUAAGAGUAUCUGACCCCAGAGUUAGCUUUGGUGCAUUUCCCUCUCUGCUGAAUGACCCUUGACAUAUCCACAGGUCCCAUAAAAAUUCAGAUCCUUGCCCAUAUUUAGAGAGAAUUGGACAGAUUGUCAGCUAUGAUUUCAAUGACAGCUGAAAGCUGGAAGAAGAGCCAGUAUCAAGAGGCUACACCAACCUCCAAGGGCCACCAACAUAUAUUCCAUAAACCUCCAGAGGUCUGCUUGACCACAUUUCAUAAAUCAAUGCCAGCAUAAAUCUGUGGUUAUAAACCUCUGGCUCCCCCAGUAAACAUAGGCCCUAUGGAUUUAUAUAAAAUUGUACUGAAUUUCUGUUUGUCAGAUUUGCUCAUGAUUGUUAAAUUAUAGUUCAAAACCUUCAUAAUUGUUUCUUUCUUUGUGAGUGAAUUUGUAAGAUACCACAUACCACAUUUCUCUUUGAACUAAAUGGUAAUGAAAAGGAGCAAAACCACAGGGUGACCAAAGGCUUAUAUUUCUUUAGAAUAGUGCAUAAAUUAAAACAUUGCAAAGACUGGAAAGAAAAAUAGUCUCUGCCAGACCAAAGUAUACAAUGCUAAUAAAGAAAAAUUGUCUCAAAUGUUUUGGGUGCAUUCUGAUUCAUUUUCACCACUAGUUCCAUGCUGAAACAACCAGGGAAGGGGGCAUAAAUGUACUACAGGAUAUAAUAGCACAAUAUCCUAGUAGGCAUUCAUAGGUCUAAGGUUCUUGGGAAAACCAAUAUUAAAGGGGUGAUAUAGUCCAGAAACUAAUAUUUAAUAUCAUUAUGGAGCACAGAACCUGUAUUUAUCCUUAUAUACACUAACAACCAAUUUACUAUCCAGUGUUCCAUUUCCACAUGUGGCCACAUGGUUAUUGCAAUCUAUUCAUUCCAUGAAGUUGUUUUUAUUGCCACCCAGUGUGUCCAGGCUUCCCAAAAUGUGCUCCAUGUUCAUUUAAUAAGUGAGCAGGAUGCCAAUGUUGGUUGAACUCAAGUGUUCCUUGCCAUUAGUAUUGCAGUGGCAAUUAUGCAGAGACUGGCUCUUCCAGAAGUUGGGCUGGCAUCAUAUAGCUAUUAAUACUGCUGGCUCAGUUAAUAGUUGAUACAGUCUCAGCAAUAGCUCUAGUAAUUUAGCUCUCUUCAGGAGAUCUGUCAAGAAAGAGUUUAAACCUUGGCCAGCUGCAUGUCCAUGGGCUAUGUACACAUUUUGAUUUACAUAAAUACUGAAUUAUAUUUGAAGAGAUU